RNAcentral lists this ribosomal RNA (465 nucleotides) under uncultured bacterium. RNAcentral's name for it is "partial 16S ribosomal RNA". It matches the Rfam family "Bacterial small subunit ribosomal RNA", at positions 28 to 507 of the family's 1533-position model. The record is from RNAcentral.
GACGAACGCUGGCGGCGUGCUUAACACAUGCAAGUCGAGCGAGGCCCCUCCUUCGGGAGGGUGUCCUAGCGGCGAACGGGUGAGUAACACGUGGGCAACCUGCCCUCAGCUCUGGGAUAACUCCGGGAAACCGGGGCUAAUACCGGAUACGACCUCCACGGGCAUCUGCGGAGGUGGAAAGUUUUUCGGCUGAGGAUGGGCCCGCGGCCUAUCAGCUAGUUGGUGGGGUAGUGGCCCACCAAGGCGACGACGGGUAGCCGGCCUGAGAGGGCGACCGGCCACACUGGGACUGAGACACGGCCCAGACUCCUACGGGAGGCAGCAGUGGGGAAUAUUGCGCAAUGGGCGAAAGCCUGACGCAGCGACGCCGCGUGAGGGACGAAGGCCUUCGGGUUGUAAACCUCUUUCAGCAGGGACGAAGCGAAAGUGACGGUAACUGCAGAAGAAGCACCGGCCAACUACGUG